This 14083-nucleotide long non-coding RNA is filed under the name Malus domestica (apple). RNAcentral's name for it is "long non-coding RNA (MDOM_LNC010720)". Lineage: Eukaryota; Viridiplantae; Streptophyta; Magnoliopsida; Rosales; Rosaceae. The record is from RNAcentral.
UUUUUUCUUGCAAACUCCAAGUUUAUAAUACAACUUUGAAAAUACUACAUAGACAAGCUUGACGAGCACGUCAAUAAUCCUAAAAUAAGGUUAAACCCCUACCGUAACCUAGCUCACCGGUUAGUGGGACGGCACAUCAUGAGUACCUUGACUAAGGGAGGGUUAGCAGGCUCGGUGCAAACCUGCCCGGAACUUGGUGCAUCCUGUGGUAGGCAACUCUUCAGAACUUGUGGCCUAAUCUGCUGCUUCUUUAUGGUUUUAUCUGACGGCUCCGAAAAGCUUAAUUUCAGACUUAUGGACUGCAAGCUUUGCCUCAAUGAUGCAUAUGUCAUUCACAAGAUAUCCUUCACGGUCGUUGUAAAACUCGCUUAGAGGAAUUAAAGAGGCGAAGCCCCAUUCGCUUUCCAUCUUAGUGAACACAUGUCCAGUAUCUGCAAAGUCCAAAUAUUCAUGAUCACAAUAGAAGCAUAACAAUUUCUAAUAUAGAAAUAAAAAAUAAGGAGUAGCUCAUUACGCAGAGUACUUAAAAUAAGUAAUGGAAACAAACAGUUAGUGCUAGAGCAUUAGAUCCAAGAAUACAAGACUUCCAGAGUCUGCAAACGUAAGACUCAAGAUCAAAACAAUCCACUUUCAAUCGUUUCAAUCCCUACCAAAGAAAGAGAUUUGAAGGUCCAGAAAUUAACCAUCUAUUUUAGCUACUUAUUGCAACUGGUUAACAAACACACAGACUGCCCAUAAGAAGAACGUUGCGCAUAGCAAACCCAAGUACACACCAGAAUUGCUCACCUCACCUUUAGCUAACAUAUGAGGCCAGAUUACCCAAAUUCGGGUGUUAGAUUCAAUAAUGAUUUAGUAAUACAUAGUAAUGUACCUAAACAAAGGACCAAAGUCAAAACUCAUUGUAAAACUUGAUUUCGAUGAAAAAACCAUAUUCUCCAAGGAUGAAAACCUAACUAUCCCUACCUUAAACUAAAUGGUUUUAUCACGGGAGUAUUUACUAAAUAGAUGGUACUCAAUUGCCAUAACUUAAAAGUAAAAUUUGAAAAGUUAUGCUUUCAACGGUAAUCACCUUUUUAGACAUGAAAAGUUGUAUUAUUGCGCUCAGGUGAUCUAAUAUACUAAUUAAUAGCAGGUAAACUAUCAACCGUACUGCAGAUAAGGUAUGUUUUGCAAUGUCAAAUGCACUGGCAAACAGUUAGCAUCCCCAAUAUACUGCCAUAAAAACAAGAUCCCAUCUUUGGCAGAAGAAAGAUAUCCAGCAUAUCAACCUUCAGUUACACCAUGUUAAUUAAACAAUUGUGGCUCAUGCAUGCCCCUUUCAUUUUCUAAAGGUCUAAACCAACCACCCAGACAUGCAGACAUAGGAAUUUGGUUUAAUUUUUGACAGUUAAAAGGAAACAAGCUUCCGUUGUUAUAGGUGGUUACAAGAAAUAAUUUUCAGACUCCAGAUUAAUACUGGAAACCCAACUAGCCAAGCCGUGAUAAGACACUGCAGUUUCACAUUUAGUAGACAACAUAGAAUAAUAAGCAACCUAGCGGUAAUAAUUAAUGGUGCUCGGAAUUUUAGAGGAAAUGAAGGGAGAAUAAAGAAAGAGAACCUGAGCUCAAUUGUCUUCAGGACCCAGAGAAAUUACCAUUUGAAUGUUUCUUAAAAGGCGACGCGAAAUAAAGAAAAAAUAAUAUUGAAGAAUUAGAUAUUCCUCAAGUUACUGAUUUUCUUCAAAGGAGAUCUCCUUAUAGUGGAAAGUAUUGUUAGCAUUCCACUUCUGUUCUAAACCUAACUAAUCUUUUGAACCAGAGAUAUGAAUUUGCAUUAUUACCUUUUGUUUAUCUACUUUCAGAGUAUCUCGUAUAGUAAAAUUCAAUAAAAUGUUGACAAGGCAGUCGGCAUUGAUAGUAAGUGUGAGACUAAAUAAAAAAGGACAGGAUACAGCAACCACUAGUUGCCUUCGAUAAAUUAGCUUUACCCUAAAAAUUAUAAACUAACAUGGCAAGAGACAAAAACAAGGAUGAAUGUGAAAUAAGAAACAGUAACAUAACAACAAAGUACCCUUUGUUAUUGACUUGCUGCUUUGAAGUUGAUUGACGACACUCAAGCUGAAUUGCGCAUAUCUAGCCCACCCUUUUGGCAAUGUUGAAGAACCAGUAACAUCCAGAUAAACCGACAAGGAGCCUGCGCUUUUCUUCCCCCUCGGAUACAUAAGGAUUCGCCUGAUAGAACCAACCAAGUCUAGUGGAAAACCAUAUAUAUAACAAUGCAAAAAGAAAAAUUUUAAGCUUGUGGAUGGUACGAGACAAUAAAAUACCAUUCAAAACAACCAAUGACGAAGACACCAGAGUAAUGCUUGACGGCAUUUAACUGAGAGAAGUUGUCAAUUUUCCACGUGAAUGUCACAGAUGCAGCAUCAUCCUUGUGAAUAUCCAGUGCCUCCAAUUUCUUUACUCCUCUACAAACUCAAAGCAACAAUAACAUGUCACCGUAACACCAAAUACCACACAACAGAAACUAAAAACGUAAGUAUGCAACCCACAACAAACCUGAAUUCUAUAACUGUGGGAAGAAGAGACCUGGGCUUAGCCACCCUACAGAUAUCCUGGACCAGAACCGCCUCGCAGCCAGGCGGCGGUGCAUCGAAAUAAUGGCAACCCAACCCCAAUGUCAGCCCAAAAUUGGCCAAAAAAUCAGCCACGCUGUUUUUUUGCCGGUACACAUGCUGCAGGGAGUAGUUUUGGAUUUGGUUAAGCAGAUUCAGGCAAUUCCUAAUCAGAUUUUCGCUAUUCCUAAUCUGAUUCAGCGACUUAUGAAUCAAAUUAAACUGAGGGUGUUUCGGGUACAACUGAACCGGGCUGAACACAAGCGUCACCGCCAUGGCUGAGUCAGUUUCCACCUCAAUUGGGUACCACCCAUAAUUCCAGGCAAGCUCCAGGCCUCUGUACAAUGCCCAGACCUCAGCCUCAAUGGGUUUCUUGCCCGUUCCCAGAUUUUCAGCAAACCCACUCAGCCAUUCUCCGUCUUGAUUUCUGAUCACGCCGCCGCCUGCUAUGCACCCCGAGCGGUAACUUCCGUCGACGUUGAGCUUGUACCAGCCAUGGCGGGGAAAACUCCAGCACAAAAGCACCUCCUGAUUGUUUUUAUGCUUUUUCUUUGUGCUGGGUGUAAAUACAAGAAAACCCAUAAGUUUACAGGUCUAAGCUUUAAAGUUGAAACAAGAGAAUCAGAGAGUUUGAUCGAGAGACGUACCUUCCCCUGGACGAUUCCGGUAACUCCAACUCGGAGCCAGACACACUCUGUAACUGCAACUCAGUCAUGGUAAAAGCGGAUUCAGGGGGAGAAAGACGAGGAGUUGACGGAGGCUCACACCAUUUUUUCUUCACUUUGCAGGGGUUGAGAAAAAAGCGCUCGAACGAGUUGGGUCACUGCUUAUGAUUGUUAUUUUGGGAAAGCCAUCCUCCGAAUCCUUUCUUCCUGAUUCAUCCUAUCAGAAAAUUUGUACUAUCGAAAUUUGAUUUAAUGCCUGAAGUUAUUAUAAUUUUUAAAGUAGCCCUAUAUUUGUAGUUAUUUGAUCAAAUUUUAAUAGCACGAAUUUCGUAAAUUGGUAAAUUAGGAUUCCUUUCUGUUAUUAUGAUCGCUAGAUUCACCAUUAUUUUUCUUCGCUAGGAAGCAAAGAAAUAUUCGGUUCGAAUCUUUUUUUAUUUUUAUUUUUAUGAAGAACUGGAUAGAUUCAUAACCAGGGCCGCAUCCAAAAGGAGGAUAGAAAGCCAAGCUACGGCUAACACCAUUUGACCAUAAAGUCGAAAUACAGGGAAAAUAACGACAUGUAACAAACACCAUGUCACCCAUACAUCUACAAAAUAAUUCUAGUUUGGGGGGCAGGGAAGACCAUCCUUGUUUAAGACCCGAACAAACGAAGAUGGGGUCUUCGGACCCAGACAAAGUCGCACAUCUUCGCACCAGUAUGCGACGCCACAAAAUCUGCCACUCCAUUGGCUGAUCUAGGUAGGGGUGGGUUCAGUUCAAAUCGGUUCGGUUUUUUGCCAAAACCGAAACCAAACCGAAUUUUCAGUUCGGUUCAUUUUUUUUCGGUUCAGUUUUUUCCGGUUUGGUUUAGGUUUUUUUUUUUUUUUUCAAAAAAUGAAAAUAAUUGUAAUUUGAAAUUUUAACAUCUCCAACACAAUCAUAACAUAAGCAUUCCAACUAGAAUCAAAGACAAUGAAAAUAAACAUUUAAAGUUCAACUAGAAUCAUCAAUCAAGUCUUCCAAAGUCCAAAUUAACAACCCCGCAACACAAAAAUCGAACAAAAGUUGCAAACUGGCUUACUCUUUUUCUUUGGGGUUUCACUCAGUGUUGAGAUGUAAUAAAUCAGGCAAAGAAAGUUUGUUAGUUUGUGUCAGGGUAAGAAAAACUGAUGAGAAUUUUAGAUCAAGAGAGUAAUUACUAAAUGUUUUAACAGUAUUCCUUGGUUUCAAUUUCUCUUCUUUCCGGUACUUCUUGGGAAUUCAUAUAUUUUAGUCUUUACUCUACCCUUCUUAUCUGCUUCACUUAUUUUUUUUUAAGAAAGGAAUGAGUUUCAAAUGAGUGCAAGUACUCUUAAUUUAUAGCUCUAGCCUCUAGUCAGCAAACAAGCCAAGAAUCUAAUAUUUCCAUUGAUUAUAUAAAAUAGGAUAACAUAGUUCUGUAUAUGCUAUACCUUCGAAUGAAACUGAGCAUUUUAGGAAAGUAAUCAAAGUAUACAGAGACAGAUGUAAGGAACUAUAAAAGAAAUAUAUAAAACAAGGUUAGGAUUUAGAGUUUCUAAAGGUUUUUUUUUAAAAUAUUUUGGGCUUAAAGUUUGGGAACACAUUGAACUUAGCACAUUUGGGCUUACAAAUUGGGUUUAAAAAAUAAUAUUCAAAACAGAUAAUUGAAUAAAUAAAAUAAAAAAAAUAAUUUAAUUAAUUCGGUUUGGUUUGGUUUGGUUUGGUUUCUAGACCACUGAAACCGAAACCAAACCAAAAGAAUUCGGUUUGGUUCAGUUUUUUCAAUUCAGUUUGGUUUUUUCAUUCGGUUCGGUUUUUUCGAUUUCGGUUCAGUUUGGUUUUCAUUUUUCGAUUUUCUAUUUUUUGAACCCACCCCUAGAUCUAAAUACCCAAGACCAGUCACACGAACUGAAAGCCUCGCCCUCAUUUCGAAUCUCCCAAAGAGUCGGAAAGACUUCCCAAGCCCCCUAAUCAAUACACCUAUUUAGCCAAUAAAUAAUUUCCUUCAAGUCCAACUCAACAAUAAUGCGGGAGAAACCCUGUUGCCGAGCCAUGAUACAUCCCUCAAACACCCCCCGCGCCUCCGCCAUUAGAACAUUGGAAGCACGCACCCUCCUUCUUCAUACUGCCAAGCAGCAGGAGGAAGAAUCCCGAAUUACCACUCCGACAUGGCAGUGUUCUUUAACCCGUUUCCAUGUCGCAUCAACAUUAACCUUGAUAACCCGUGCGGUGGAGGAUCCCAGCCUUGAGAAUGUGUCCCCCGCUAGGUUCCGUCAUGAUUGCACCUUCGAGUGCACCUCUAAAAAAUGGGCAAUAGUUGAAAUGAUGGCCAGUAAUGUCCUAGACGGGGAAGGGAAUCUGCAAUUAAAAGCUCCAUCACAUCUAGAUUUCCAAAUUGACCAACAAGAGAAGGCAAUGUACGACAAGGAUUUCCUCAUUUCCACCACCGAACCAAUAAGCCCUCUCCACACGUCCUCCAACCAAGUAUGGAGGGAAGUAAUCUCAGACUUUUCAAUUCUCAACCCCAACUAACCUCUAAACCAAACCCGGUCCACCCAUGGGCACAAUAGUAAAGCAUGCUUGAUCGAUUCCUCAUGUUCAAAGCAAAAGGGACACAUAGGAGAAGGUGCACACAUUUUACAAAAUAUAUUCUGUUUAGUAACUGUAGCCCCCUUAAGUGCCCACCACAUAAAAAAAUUUAUUUUAGGAAGGACCUUAAGUGUCAAUAUACACUUCCACACCCAUGAUUGAAUUGAGGUCAAAGAAACAGGGCGGAAGACCCAUGUUCGGUGAUUAGUAGCAUGGACCAAGUGAUAUCUUGACUUAACAGUGAAACGUCCUCUUCUGUCGGAAUGCCAAACCAACCUGUCCUUACAAUCCAUCGCCCCAGGAAGAAUGUCAACGAUUGCCUAUCGAUCUUCCUGAACACCCUUGCCAAUUACCUGCUCAUUCCACUAUUUGGUUACCGGGUCAAUAAGAGAAUAGACCCUUUGAUUCGGAUCAACUACGACCCCCGAGGUUGGGACAUGAUGUCCAUUUGCAAGGCUUAGGAUCCAGUAAUCCACCCACACCCCUGUCUGAUCACCACUCAUAAUCUGGCAAUGAGCCCCUUUAAUAAUAAAAUCUCUGCCUGCUAGAAGACUCGCUCAGGUCCAAGAAAACCGUCCCCCCUUCUUAGCCUUAAGGAAAGAGUAAUCGGGAAAAUAUCGAUGUUUGAUGGCCUGAGCCUAGAGAGAGUCGAGGGAAUGUAUAAGGCGCCAACCUUGUAUGGCCAACAGUGCUAAGUUGAAUUCUUUAAGAUUACGAAAACCAUGCUCCCUUCCUGCUUUGGUAACCCCAAUGUUUCUUGGUUCACCCAAUGUAUCUUUCUUUCCCUCGUUCUCUGACCCCACCAAAAUUUAGCAACCUCCGCAUCAAUGUCAUUACAUAUGUUGUCGGGAAAACAGAUGAUGUUCAUGGGAUAGGCCGGUAUUGCCUGAGCUACUGCCUUGAUUAGUACCUCCAUUUCGACCUGGGAAAUGAAUCAUUGAUUCCAUCCUUGAAUCUUCGCCAUAACUCUAUCCUUCAUAAAAGUCAGGGCAUUCGUUUAGAUCUCCCCUACACAGUUGGGAUACCCAGAUAACUCCCAGGUCAACAACUUGUAGCAUACCAAGAAUAUAAGACAACUUGUUCCGGAGCCCCGAUGGAGUAUUGGCCCUGAAAUAGAUGGAGGAUUUUUGCAUGCUGAUCUCUUGUCUCGAAGCCGUGCAGAAGGCAUUCAAGAUGUGGGUAAUGUUCUAGCAAUUAAGUUGAGUAGCCUAAAGGAAGAUUAGUGUAUCGUCGGUAAACAACAAAUGAGAGAGAGUAAGCCUGUUCAUACUCAACCUAAUUCUUUCCAAAAAUCCCUCAUCAACUGUACCUUAGAUGAGUCUCGAGAGAACGUCCGUCACAAUGAGGAAAAGAUACGGGAAGAGUUUGUGGGAGGGUUUAAACCGCUUCCCAGGUUGUCCAUUGAUAAGAACAAAAAAAUCCACUGUAGUGACGCAUCCCAUCACAACCUUUUAUCCACCACAGGUGAAAGCCCAUUCGAACCAUAACUGCCUCUAAAAAAUCCCACUCAAUCCUAUCGUAAGCCUUGUUUAUGUCGAUUUUCAUUGCCAGCUCAAAGCGAGUUUUAACCUUCCUGAGUUUGAGGAGGUGAAAAAUCUCAUACACAACCAAUAUGUUAUCCUGAAUCUGACGCCCCUCAACAAAAGCAUUUUGAGUUGGAGAGAUUAUCUGAAACAACCAAGGCUUUAACAUGUUGGCUAACAACUUGGAGAAUAUUUAUAUGAAUAGUUACAUAGACUAAUCGAACGAUAUUGGCCCACCGUGGUCGGGUUUGUAACCUUCAGGAUAAGGACAAUGUGCGUGGAGUUUAAUUUUUUUAGACUUUCCAUACCUUUCGCAAAUUCCUUCCCAACCCAUUCACAUCCUUAGCAAUUAUGUCCCAAAAAGAUUGGUAUAAAAACUCCGUGGAAACCGUCCGGGCCCGACACUUUUAAGCCACUCAUGUGAAACAUUGCCUUAUUGAUCUCAUCUAUAUUAAUUUGUCGGGUAAGAUGGGAAUUCAUUUAUGCCGAAAUGGAUGUUUUGACACUGUCAAGAAUCAAUCCCCAAUCUCUAUUCCCCCCCCCCCCCGGAUUUGAAGAGCCCAGUAAAGUGAUUCUAGUAUCACCCUUUUUACCCCAAUAGAUUCCUCCCUCCAUACCCUUUGGGCGUCUUGGAGCUUUUCAAUUUUAUUAAAUCUCAUUCUCUAGAUAGUAGUUUGAUGAAAGAAGCGGGAGUUUGAGUCACCUUUAGUCAACUAUUUUAUUCUGGACCGUUGACGCCAGAACAACUCAUCUUGUUCCUCCAACAUAUCAAUAGAGGUAGAUAGUGCACUGAUCUCAUCAACUUUAUAUUCCCAAUUUUCUUGAAGCAGUACCAACCAAUUUAAAUGGACCCCAAUAUCCUCCCUUGCUCACUUGAAUCUUCUCCUACUCUAAUUCAAUAAGUUUCCCUUAUAGGAAUUUAGAUGACGUAGCCACCUAUCACACGUGCUGUUUCCCCCGGUCUUACUUCAGCUUCGCUUGACAAUCUCCCUACACCCAUCCUCAUUUACCCAAAAAGCCUGAAAACGAAAUAGUUUCUUUCCUUUUGUCUGCAGGGGAUCAUUAGUGACAAUGAUCGAGCAUUGAUCAGAACCUUUCACCACACCAUGACUAACAGAAGUCAACGGCCAUCUGACCUGCCAUCCCCCGUUAACUAGACCUCGAUCAAGCUAUUCCUGGACAAGACCAUUGUUCAUGUUUCCCCUCCAUGUAAACUUUGGGCCACUAAACCCAAGGUCAAUAAGCUCCAUCUUCACCAUAAAUCAUGAAAGAACCUGGGUCUAGUAUGGCAAUCAUCGCAACCACCAUGCUUAUCAAACUCCCACAAAAUUUCAUUUAAGUCGCCUCCACAAAACCAUGGGCCCUUCAUGGGAUUCAUAACCUGUCGCAUAGAUGUAUGAAUUAUAUUUUUUGUUGAGAAUAAAAUUUGCAUAUCGGUUGACUCGUGCCACCAUAAGCUCAACCCACCAGUUACACCAAUUGGGGGAACAUUGAAACCCCGAUUGUAGCCCAAUAUCUUCCUAAUUUCAUCCAAUCUAUGGCAUUUCAUUUUAGUUUCCAAAAGAAACACCACAUAAGGUCUAACCUUUCUUAUCAGCUCAUGUAGGUACCGAACUACCGUGUCCGACCAGAGACCACAAUAGUUCCAAAGAACAUAGAUCAUGGUGAUUUUGCGGCUGUUUCAGGCCAGCCGCCACAACCCCGAGGUUGUUUCCCAGCCUUCCUUGCCCAAAGCUCCUCCAUUUCAUUCUUCGGAGCCCUGUCCAGAUAGUCUCAAAUGCUAUCCUCUUCCAUGAUUGGAACAUCCUAAAGGUUAUCUUUUGCUAGAAUGGACAUUUUCCACCGCUGACCAUUGUUAUCUAAGAAAGAUACCAUGGAAUCUGCUCUUUUUUCUCCCACCUUGAACCACCAAGCUCAUCCUAGCUUUAAGCUUUCCCAGGCCUCAAAGAUUUCGAGUGCCCAACAUCCUUCCCAUAACCCAUCCCCUCAAAUAAGUUUCCCACAUGCUUAGGGUUUGGCUCCAAGGUUAUUGGGAUUGCCCUUGAGACUAGUUCUGAAGACAUGGGUUAUACUAUUACACCCCCUUCUCUAAGAGCAAUAUCUGUCUGGGCCCAAUUAUUCUCCCUUUCCUCAAACGGAAGCCCAGAAGAAUGACUAAUCUCUUCCAACUCAAUAAUUAUCACCCCUCUUCCACUUGGCAUAUAACUGGGCCCCGUCUCCAGGAAUUGUCCCUUUCCACCUCAUGUACACUCCACUAGGUAUUGUUUAGACCCACGUGGUAUGAGUCACCCUAAGGAUACUUUAAGGAAACCCCUCUGCUGGCUAAUGCUGGAGUUGCCCACAUAAGUGUUGUCAGUAUAGUUCCUUAUCCCUUAUUUUGUGUGCCUUCCAUCUGUCAUCUUUCCUUUUGUCAGGUGGUACCUCCCUAGUCGCCCUUUGCCCACUCAUCCUAGUGCCCUAUCUAUCCUGAAACCUAGAGAGUUCCUGCUUAGUCCUUACCUUCACCGCCCCGCCCUGUCGCAGAUCCCCUGGCACCACUAGACUAGCCCUUCGAGACUCCUGACUAUCUCAGGGUCUCUUGGCCCUAGUCCAGUCACCAUACCCCGCAUCACGACCCCUUGAUGGGGGGAAGAGCAAUCGGUAUUGACAUGACCAAUGCGGCCGCACUUGUAACAAAAAUCUUGUAAGCUCUAAUACUGAAAUUCGAUCCAGGAAUCAAUAUCCACAGUUCUUGGUAGCCAACACCCCAUAGUCAAAGGUUUCUUCAUAUCAACCAUGAUCUUCACUUGCAAAAAGCUCUUUCGCAAGGUCCAGAUCCUUCAUUUCCUGGAACUGUCUAAUUUCCUUUGCCAAUCUUCUUGCACUCAUCUCUGAGCAUAGGUUGAGAGGAAGACCUCUAAUUUGAAGCCAAAACGAAACCUUCUCCAACUUUAUCUCUUCCAAGGAAAGAUUGCUAGGCCACAUUGGCACCGAAAGUUUUUUACUUAUAACCCCCCACGGGACAAGGUCCCUGAUGUAGUUCGCAGAUUCAUCAUCCUUCACAAUAACGACAAAGGUAUUCCCCUGGACCCAGUUAAUAUUUACCUCCCCUGUCUUCUUCCAAGUGGUGUUUGGAUAUUCUUCACACCCCACUUAUUGAGGGGUUGAUCAAACAAAACCGCCCUCACAAGCUUCACCCCAUGUUCCAUACUUGAAAUUUCUAGUGAAUCUUCCAAUCGUAUCACUAAAUCAUCCACCUCCAUCUGCUUCAUUCUCCACCAACAACCCCGAUGUAAUAAGGAAGGUUAAGCAACCUUGGUACAGAUGUGAAUCUUCAUCCUUUGCACUACUUGUAGGUGCAUAAAGCUCUUGUAUAUGCCUAGGAAACACCCACCUACUCGAAUACUAUUCCAGACGACCCACAAAAAGUUAAUGAAAUAUUCAAACACAAUCUUUCUAACCUUGACAUUUAGAUCUUGAGCUUUCGCAAUAAGUUCUGAACAGUAGUUGGUGUUGUUUUCAGACUUUUAUCCAUCAGAUCUGGUGGUUAAGGGCAUUUCCCCCCAUAAAUCCUCAUUAAUAUUUUACCCUCAAUUGCUAGUGUCCUAACACACGGGAGUGAGCAAAUCAGAACUCAAGGGCUCAUUAUCCUUGUACGCAGUAACCAUAAACUAUGUACCCAGGUAGGUAGGGGAAUGAAGGUGGGAGUAAUUGCACUCACAACGGAGGAAGAGCUCUCACAGAGGAGAGAAGGCAAGAACUCAUCAUUUGCUUGAUGCCUCUAAUUAUAGCCUUAUGGUUUCUGUAUCCAGGAAAGAAAAGUUGAGGUCAACCAAAGAGAUGUAUCAUAUGGGGAUUAGUGCUAGCUUUUUGGUUCGAAUCUAAAAUGAUGAUUUGCAACGAAAUUUCUUUACCUUUUUUUAGGUGGUGGCCAAAUUGUUUUUUUUCUUUAUCUACAUUAAGUGUGGAGGGGUGGGCUAAGCUCACAAUAGGCUAGUAAUAAUGGGAUUUAAGUUCAACUUUAGCGAGAAUCGAAUCUAAGACCUCUCAUUUACCAGUGAAAAGGGAUACCACUAAACUGUACUAAUAAUUGGCAAUUGUAUUUUUUUUAUUUGUAGAACUAUUUGGCAACUCAGACUGUACUGACUAUUUCAAUCGGAUAGGAUAAAUAAUCAUCAGAUAGUAUUAACUAAGGCGUUUGGUGCAAGAUCGAACUAAUGACUAUAUUAUUUAUAUUGUGUUUUGUACAAAUAUAAAUUCAAUGUUAAUUAUGUAUUAUCUAGAAACCCAAAUACUUUUCAAAUAUUAUCUUUAAAAUAAGAAGCAAAUGAAAGAUAGUCGUCACGCCUUGAACCCAAGGUCGGUGGAAGAAAUUGAACCCGAAUCUAGAGCGUAAGUUAAAAACUAAAUAAAUAAAAGAAAAUUGAAACGAACUGAAAAAUAAAUUAUUCUUAUAAAAAUAACUCAUGAUUCUUAAACAAAUCAUGAAUUCUUUACAAUUCUAUAAUAAAUAGAUGAAUAAACUUUCUAUUCUCACAUCUAAUCCAAUCUCAUCUUGCCUACCCUUUUGAAUGUUUAGUUCGUGAACCUGCAUAAUAAUAGAGGGAUGAGCUUCAAUAGUUUAGUAGGAACAUAACCUUAACACAAUAAAUUGACAAUACUAAAUAAAGUGUCAUGAGAUCAUAUAGCCAAGUAUCCAAUCAUUAUUGAUAACAAUGCAUGAAUGCAAUGCAACCUCUUCGGCUACACCUUUUAAUAUAUAUAAUAAAACACGCGGGUGCAUGUCCCAUACCGUGCAUUUUACCACUGUAGUGGUGCUUUGAAUGUUCUAUUGUACAAACUAAUAUCCCAAGUUCAUAAAUCUUCUUUGCCAGUCAAUCUUAUCUAAUUUAUUGAUGUUCAACCUAAAUCACCCACAGCGACAAUUUAUCCCACCGAUUUCCUACUCUAAUGUGUACACGGGGCUCACCUGGAACUGGUUUCAUAAUGAAUAGAUUCAAUUACACAAAAGAUCCUUUCCAACCACCCGCAUUUCCAGAAUUCCAAUCUCAACAUUGAAGUUUAGUCAUGUCAUCUUUCAUAUGUAUCAUCGAUUAAGCCAUGUCAAAUCUUAUAUUUAUUUUUUUUAUAUAGAGACAAUAAGACCAAAAGCAAAAUGUGAGAGAAGGGGAAGGAAUGGGUUGAGAAUAGGAGGGGAAAGAAUCAUACUUCCUUAUUAAAAGCAAAACACUGUUGCUUCUAAGUUGCGGCUACAAGGUGCCUCAUGGAAAAGACAUCGUGAUAUGCAUUUACCGUUUUCGACUAGUUUGUAAUUGAUCUAAUCUCUCUUCCCCUUCAAUCUUAUGAUGUUGCAGAGAAAUGGAGAGGAGCAGUGCGAGUGUCUUGUAGAGUACAUGGAAAAGACGCUGGAGCCUGGAAGGUGAUAGGGAAAACAGAGCCAGCGAGAGGAGGUGGGGAGAACAGAGUGCGAGACGAGGAGAAUAGAACCUGCAAAAGGAGAUGGGGAGAACAGAGCCGACGAGAGAAUGAGACAGAGAGAACCAUGACAACGAGAAGAGGCGAGAGAAAGCCUAGUUUGUGAGAGGGAGAUGAAUGAGACCCUACUAAUUAUAAGCUCUUUUGGAAGGUUUUAUUAAGGGAUCUCUUCCCUUCUAAUCUCUCUUCCCUUCUAAUCUCUCUUCCCUUCCCUUAUCUCAUAUUUGAACAGUUACGAUUUAGCCACGUUAACAUCUUAUAUUGAUUUUUUUUUAUAGAGCCAAUAAGACAAAAAACAAUAUGUGAGAGGAAGGGAGAGAAUGAGAUGUGAAUAGGAGGAGAGAUAAUCCUACUCCUUUAGUAAGAGGGUGUAUGCCGUAUAAAAUAAGUGGAUCAGAUUAAAUUAGCUUGUCCAAUUUAAUACGAGAGGUGCCAAACGACUAAGUCCGUAUUAUUAGACCCAUUUUGUCUCUUAUAUGACUUGCCAAAUAAGGCCUAAGGGUAUAUGCGAGAAAAACAAAAAUUAUGCUUUUAGAGAAUUAAUUUCAUAGUUUAUAGUAGUGAAGUCCACAUGUCAAAUGAUAAGUGGGAAAGGUAAGUAGGGAAAGAUAAACAGGAAGGGCAAUGUUAUUCACACACAAUUUUUUACUUUCCGCACACCCUUACUAGUUUUUGUCCAUUGAUCUUCUUCAACUCAUUUGAUCCGAUUGCCAAAAAUUUAAAGAAGUGUGUGAAUAGCACCACCCAAAUGAGAAAGGUAGCUAGCAUUCCUCAUUUUGGAAAUGUAUUUCUUCCAUCCAAACAAAACAUAAGGUUAACCCCUACCGUAACCUAGCUCACUAAUCCAUGUAUAUCUCGUCCAUGCCUUCUUGAGUCUUGUCAAAAUCUCUUACUCUUGCCUCAAGAUUUACCUCCGCAACAGCUGGCUCAGCCCUCAGCCUCUUCACUUGCGUUUGUAAAGCAUCCACAUCCUCUCUCAGACUCUUCAACUUCCUUGCCCUUUCCACAGUCUUCUUCAUACCCAAAGCCUUUUGAACACAAGGCUCCAACCACGCCAAGUCAAGGCCUCAAGCUCCUCCCACAAAAGUUUUAGUUCUUCACACGCAUAGGCUGUCAUAUCCUUGACCUUUUUCGUCUUCAUAAAAAGCAAUAUGCGGCCCAAAGCUGUGAACGCCCACUCAGCAAACAUGCGACUUCUCUUGCGUUGGCAUUCAAUUAGCGAAGGAUGCCACAAACAAACUUCAUCUAGCAGUGGAACAAAAGCAUUGUCUAUGUUCCC